Talpa occidentalis (Iberian mole) is the source of this 1756-nucleotide long non-coding RNA. RefSeq lists it as uncharacterized. The transcript has 5 exons. NCBI's taxonomy places the organism in Eukaryota, Metazoa, Chordata, Mammalia, Eulipotyphla, Talpidae. The record is from RefSeq and is a predicted model, not a curated record.
UGUCUUCUCGCUCUUUCGCGUCUGCGGCGCUGGCUGAGCUUUGUCUGUGCUUCCUGCCAUGGGGCCCUCCCCGGUGUCGGCCCGCUCGAGAAACCGGGGUAUGGUUGCCGCGGUGAGGGGGUACAGCAUGGGCGUUGGAAGAGGAGGUUGCACGUGGGCCUCCGAAGGAACCCGGUGUAGACAUCUACGGUCCUCCGUCUCAUGAGCCCUAAGGUUGACUUUUGGCAGAAGACAGCCUGAGAAUGGAUCAGGAUGAAUCCAGAUGUGGGAAAGGAUUGUUCCUACAGGUCAGGAGCCCUAUGGAAGUGGAUUGAUGGCAGCUUUGGUGUACAGUCUGUCCUCUACAGGGGAUUUUCUGUUUUGGAGUUGGAAUGGAAUACAAGAUUGGAAGAAAGACGCUUUUUCCUGAGAAAUAAAUCAUAACAGUUCUGAUUGAAUACAUCCCUUACUCUCUAAGUAACCUGAAGACUGUUGGAAAAGCCUGUGUCUAUUUUGAAGAAUUAAGGUUUUAAAGACUUUUUAACAUCCUACUGGAGAGAAUAAUAAAAUUCUUUAAAUCAAUCAGAAUGUUGUAUAUUGGUCAUUGGAGAUAAAGAUGUUGAGCUGAUGUCUUUACAGCUAGAGGAGCUACCUGAUGUGUGGUGUAUGUAUCAUUGUAAAUGCUAGGCUGUCUGGAACACUUCAUUGUCAAGUUUAAAGCUACCUCUGUAAGCCCCAUUACUCUCUAAUUGAGUCGUCAUCCUCCCAUCUGUAUAACAGCCACUACCAUUUCUUGAAUUUCCUACCAGACUCCAUGCUAGGAGUAGAAUUUAUCUGCUAUUAUGCAUAAUUCCUCACUUCAACUGUAUAUAGGAGGUAAUACUAUGAUUCUGACUUUACAGGAGAAACGGUUCAGAGAGGUCACACAGCAAGCGACUGCCAAAGUCUUCCUUGCUGGUCCAGGUCUCCACACCUGAGUCUUCCUUGCCCCGUGUGACAGCUUCCUCAGCUCUGUGGUUGCUGAGCUCCACUGCCCUGCUGACACCCUACAUUUCGUUCUGUGCCUUGAAGUCUCUGAUUUGCUCCUCAGUCUUUCAUGAUCUUGAGCACUGGCCAAUAUUUAGAAAACGUAAAUUUUUAGAAAUGGAGACAGCCUUUUAAUAGACUUAAAAGGAAUGGGCCUCAGAAGUGCCUUGCAGGCUUCUCCUCACUUGUCAUUGGCCAGAGGUGGAUCACAUGCUCAAACAAGGGUUUGGAGUAGCAGUGCCGUGGCCCCAGGGCAGCUUGCUAGAAAUGCCCAUUCUGGGGCUUAAUCCUUGACCCAGUGAAUUAGAGUCCAGCCCCAGCUCCAGCAAUGUUUUCGCAAGACAUGCAGUCAGCCAUGGCUGCACAUUAGAGUUAUCUGGGCAACUCUUAACAUUACCGCCAGAUAGAAACCAGAAUAGUGGGUACUUUUGGAGCGCUUUGAGUAUAGCACUAACUUGUCCUGAUUUGCUCAGGACAUCUUCAGUUUUCAUACUGAAAGUCCCAUGUCUUGGGCAAAUUAUGGCAGCUCAUCACCCUACCCUGAAAUUGCAACAGGGAACUUUCUGGGGGUGCUGUGUUCUUAGUAAUUACCUGUGUGGUGUUUACAUGGGUGUCAUUGUGUGUGAAAAUUAGCAAGCUCUCCACUGAGGUUAGGGCACUUGACUAAAUGUACGUUAUACGGAAUCAAAAUCUCAGAGGAUGAUCUCAGGCAAAACUUCUGCAUACAUGUAAUGUCAGCUAAUGUGUUCAC